GACGAACGCUGGCGGCGUGCUUAACACAUGCAAGUCGAACGGAAAGGCCCUGCUUUUGUGGGGUGCUCGAGUGGCGAACGGGUGAGUAACACGUGAGUAACCUGCCCUUGACUUUGGGAUAACUUCAGGAAACUGGGGCUAAUACCGGAUAGGAGCUCCUGCUGCAUGGUGGGGGUUGGAAAGUUUCGGCGGUUGGGGAUGGACUCGCGGCUUAUCAGCUUGUUGGUGGGGGAGUGGCUUACCAAGGCUUUGACGGGUAGCCGGCCUGAGAGGGUGACCGGCCACAUUGGGACUGAGAUACGGCGCAGACUCGUACGGGAGGCAGCAGUGGGGAAUAUUGCACAAUGGGCGGAAGCCUGAUGCAGCAACGCCGCGUGCGUGAUGACGGCCUUCGGGUUGUAAACCGCUUUCGCCUGUGACGAAGCGUGAGUGACGGUAAUGGGUAAAGAAGCACCGGCUAACUACGUG
RNAcentral lists this ribosomal RNA (468 nucleotides) under uncultured bacterium. Its description in RNAcentral is "partial 16S ribosomal RNA". It matches the Rfam family "Bacterial small subunit ribosomal RNA", at positions 28 to 507 of the family's 1533-position model. The record is from RNAcentral.